UAGCGUAUAUUAAAGUUGUUGCGGUUAAAAAGCUCGUAGUUGGAUUUCUGUUGAAAGCAGCCGGUCCGCACUACGUGCGUGUAUCUGGUUUGGUUUCGGCAUCCUCUCGAAACACGCUACUGUGCUUGAUUGCAUGGUGCGGGGUUCGGGACUUUUACUUUGAGGAAAUUAGAGUGUUCACGGCAGGCAAUCGCCUUGAAUAUAUUAGCAUGGAAUAAUAAUAUAGGAUCUGAUGCCUAUUUUGUUGGUUUCUAGGUGUUAGAUAAUGAUUAAUAGGGACAAUUGGGGGGAUUCGUAUUACGGCGUC
This 307-nucleotide ribosomal RNA is filed under the name Amoebophrya sp. Its description in RNAcentral is "SSU rRNA". It matches the Rfam family "Eukaryotic small subunit ribosomal RNA", at positions 595 to 906 of the family's 1831-position model. Lineage: Eukaryota; Dinophyceae; Syndiniales; Amoebophryaceae. The record is from RNAcentral.